CCUACGGGGGGCUGCAGUGAGGAAUAUUGGUCAAUGGACGAGAGUCUGAACCAGCCAAGUAGCGUGAAGGAUGACUGCCCUAUGGGUUGUAAACUUCUUUUAUAUGGGAAUAAAACGUUCCACGUGUGGGAUUUUGUAUGUACCAUAUGAAUAAGGAUCGGCUAACUCCGUGCCAGCAGCCGCGGUAAUACGGAGGAUCCGAGCGUUAUCCGGAUUUAUUGGGUUUAAAGGGAGCGUAGGUGGUUUGUUAAGUCAGUUGUGAAAGUUUGCGGCUCAACCGUAAAAUUGCAGUUGAAACUGGCAGUCUUGAGUACAGUAGAGGUGGGCGGAAUUCGUGGUGUAGCGGUGAAAUGCUUAGAUAUCACGAAGAACUCCGAUUGCGAAGGCAGUUCACUGGACUGCAACUGACACUGAGGCUCGAAAGUGUGGGUAUCAAACAGGAUUAGAUACCCUUGUAGUC
Molecule: ribosomal RNA, 460 nt
Filed under: uncultured bacterium
Lineage: Bacteria
Description: partial 16S ribosomal RNA
Rfam family: Bacterial small subunit ribosomal RNA
Source: RNAcentral